RNAcentral lists this microRNA (21 nucleotides) under Vriesea carinata. Its description in RNAcentral is "vca-miR167b-3p". Its record names the gene vca-miR167b-3p. Lineage: Eukaryota; Viridiplantae; Streptophyta; Magnoliopsida; Poales; Bromeliaceae. The record is from miRBase by way of RNAcentral.
AGAUCAUGUUGCAGUUUCAUC